RNAcentral lists this ribosomal RNA (408 nucleotides) under uncultured bacterium. Its description in RNAcentral is "partial 16S ribosomal RNA". It matches the Rfam family "Bacterial small subunit ribosomal RNA", at positions 28 to 526 of the family's 1533-position model. The record is from RNAcentral.
GACGAACGCUGGCGGCGUGCUUAACACAUGCAAGUCGAACGAAGUGGCGAACGGGUGAGUAACGCGUAAUCAACCUGCCCUUCCGAGGGGGACAACAGUUGGAAACGACUGCUAAUCCCGCAUACUGAAGGAGGGGAUUGCGUCUGAUUAGCUAGUUGGGGGGGUCACGGCCCAACAAGGCGAUGAUCAGUAGCCGGGUGUGGGGGAUGAACGGCCAAAUUGGGACGGGGAAACGGGCCAGACUCCUACGGGAGGCAGCAGUGGGGAAUCUUCCGCAAUGGACGAAAGUCUGACGGAGCAACGCCGCGUGAGUGAUGACGGCCUUCGGGUUGUAAAGCUCUGUUAAUCGGGACGCGGUACCGGAAUAGAAAGCCACGGCUAACUACGUGCCAGCAGCCGCGGUAAUAC